This 205-nucleotide ribosomal RNA is filed under the name Escherichia coli. RNAcentral describes it as "partial 23S ribosomal RNA". It matches the Rfam family "Bacterial large subunit ribosomal RNA", at positions 2738 to 2925 of the family's 2925-position model. Lineage: Bacteria; Pseudomonadati; Pseudomonadota; Gammaproteobacteria; Enterobacterales; Enterobacteriaceae. The record is from RNAcentral.
CUGCCCGGUAGCUAAAUGCGGAAGAGAUAAGUGCUGAAAGCAUCUAAGCACGAAACUUGCCCCGAGAUGAGUUCUCCCUGACUCCUUGAGAGUCCUGAAGGAACGUUGAAGACGACGACGUUGAUAGGCCGGGUGUGUAAGCGCAGCGAUGCGUUGAGCUAACCGGUACUAAUGAACCGUGAGGCUUAACCUUACAACGCCGAAG